Molecule: unclassified non-coding RNA, 2389 nt
Filed under: Lucilia cuprina (Australian sheep blowfly)
Lineage: Eukaryota; Metazoa; Arthropoda; Insecta; Diptera; Calliphoridae
Description: zinc finger protein 678, transcript variant X3
Source: RNAcentral
ACAAAUUGACCAACCCAGCUGUUUGUUUUCUUUUCCUGAAAAUUUUUUUGUAACCAACUAAAAUCCUUGAGAAAAGAAAAUUAUUUAAUGAAAAUUUACAAAUAAAUGCAUAAAAACCGAGUAAAUUUAUUGAUUUUCGAUAAUAAGUGCCGUUAAAGUUGUGAAUAAAGUGAAAACAUGUUAAAAAUCAAGUGAAAUGUAAGCAAAAGAAAAAAACGUGAAAUCACAGACAAAACGAAACUCUCUAUUGGAAGAAGAAAAACAAGCACACACGUUGCCACAGUGGCAGUAAUAAUAACGAAAACAAGACAUACAGCCAGUCAGUCAGUUGAAAAGUGAAAAGGGUUUUUCUUGAUUCGAACCGUCCAAUUAGGACCGUAUUGCGUUAAUUUGUACCAGACUCGAAUACAAGAGGGAGCGACGAAUCGCAAAUUACCUCAUGCAAGAUGCAUCUCAAUCAUGCUACAGCUGUAAGUGCGGCCGCCAUGGUCAACUAUCAACACUAUGCACCGGCACAAAUUACCACUUCGCACGGCGUGACCACAUCCUCUGGUCAACAGCAAACAACAAUAUCUGCAGCUGGCCUGCAGCAAGCACCCUUUACGCUGCAUCAAUUAACAGCGGUACAAGCCAUACAACAUCCCACACAUCAAGCCAUGCUACAUCCUCAACACCCAUUGGUUCAUUUACUGGACAUUUCAACAACGGCGGCAGCUUCCUCAUCGCUUAACAAUAAUCCUGCACCCAUCACUCCGAUGCCAGUGACAAAAAUCGAAAUGCCCGAAGAGAUUGUUGAACCGAUAAUCGACGAUCCACGCAAAAAGAAACAGUGCCACAUUUGUAAAAACAAAUUUCGCCAGUUGACCACACUGCGAAAUCACAUGAAGAUACACACCGACGAAAGGCCCUACAAGUGUAAACAUUGCGACAAAGCCUUUCGUCAGAUAUCAACUCUUACUAAUCAUGUCAAGAUUCACACUGGCGAGAAACCAUUUAAAUGCAAUAUAUGUUCAAAGGACUUUCGACAACAAUCGACAUUAAUAAAUCACAUUAAAACGCAUAAGGUUUUUGCUUCACUUGCUGAAUCGAAUCAAACACCUGCAGCGAUACUAAACUAUCAGACGCAACAAACGCAGGGUACUUCACGCAAGGGUCAUUCAAAAACGAUUGUACAUUCAGCAGCAGCUGCUGCUGCUCAAGCUCAACUAAUACAUCAACAACAAAUGCAACAGCAGCAGCAGCAACAACAGCAACAAGGACAGGGUACAAUUGUAACGUAUACGCCACAGCAAAGGCAAAACAUAACGAAGAGCCUAUAUACGGGCAGUUACAAUUCCCCGCAGGCCGAUGAGCUGGUCAAGCCGUAUCAGUGUAAGAUCUGUCAGAAACGUUUUCCACAAUUAAGUACCCUGCAUAAUCACGAACGUACGCAUAUUGAUCCAAAACCUUAUAAAUGCGACACAUGCGAAAAGUCAUUUAGUCAAUUGGCAACAUUGGCAAAUCAUAAGAAGAUACAUUCGGGUGAUAAGCCCUAUGCUUGUGCUUAUUGUUGCAUGACGUUCCGGCAACAGAGCACCCUAAACAAUCACAUGAAGACACAUGCCAAUCAAGUGGCCACCAUAACAACUAAUUCUACAACAGCAGGCACAGGAGGGGGAGGAUCAGUUGUACAAGUAGGUAACCACCAUCAUCCCCACCACCAUCAGGCGGGCGGUAAUAACAUCCCUUUAGCUGCAGCUACCAUAAUGGUGACACCGACCGCAUCAGGACACCUACAAAUACAGCCACAAGUUGAACAUCAUCCCUUGUUACACUUUCUAGACAGCAAUACUACCGUCAGCACUCUGAGCACGAAGGAGCAGUUUGCAACGGUAAACAACAACAAUACUAAUAAUAACCACAACAACAACAACACCACAAGUACUGGAGUUGUGCCCCACUGUUUGCGCAACAGUUGUCCAGAUCGUCCAUUUAUGUGCAGUGUCUGCCGUAGGACAUUCUCGCAACAGAGCACACUUACAAAUCACUUGAAGACCCAUACCGGUGAAAAGCCCUAUAAAUGUAAAAUAUGCGAGAGUCACUUCAGACAAUUGUCCACAUUAAAUAAUCAUAUGAAAAUACAUACGGGCGAGAAGCCCUAUGCUUGUUCCUAUUGUCCUAAACAAUUUAGACAAAAAAGUACACUAACAAAUCAUAAACACAAUAACAUCUCAUUCAAUCACACUCUCAUCUAACUCCACGCAUACGCAUUACAUACAUAUGCAUAUGUAGUAGUACUACUAUACAUACAAAUAUAGUGUACAAUUUGCGCUAAGGAGGAGGCAGGCGCGGGGGAUGGUUAUAAAAAAUACAUGUUGCAGCAGUUGGAAAUCAUUUAAUUUUGUAAAUA